This 115-nucleotide ribosomal RNA is filed under the name Pseudomonas aeruginosa. The record is from RNAcentral. Lineage: Bacteria; Pseudomonadati; Pseudomonadota; Gammaproteobacteria; Pseudomonadales; Pseudomonadaceae. RNAcentral also lists the same sequence under 10 other names.
CUGGCGGCACUAGCGCGGUGGUCCCACCUGACCCCAUGCCGAACUCAGAAGUGAAACGCCGUAGCGCCGAUGGUAGUGUGGGGUCUCCCCAUGUGAGAGUAGGGAACUGCCAGGC